UACGUAGGGUGCGAGCGUUGUUCGGAAUUAUUGGGCGUAAAGAGCUCGUAGGCGGUGUGUCGCGUCGGUCGUGAAAACUUGGGGCUUAACUCUGAGCUUGCGGUCGAUACGGGCAUCACUGGAGUUCGGCAGGGGAGACUGGAAUUCCUGGUGUAGCGGUGAAAUGCGCAGAUAUCAGGAGGAACACCGGUGGCGAAGGCGGGUCUCUGGGCCGAUACUGACGCUGAGGAGCGAAAGCGUGGGGAGCGAACAGG
This 254-nucleotide ribosomal RNA is filed under the name uncultured bacterium. Its description in RNAcentral is "partial 16S ribosomal RNA". It matches the Rfam family "Bacterial small subunit ribosomal RNA", at positions 524 to 776 of the family's 1533-position model. The record is from RNAcentral.